UACGUAGGGGGCGAGCGUUGUCCGGAUUUAUUGGGCGUAAAGAGCUCGUAGGCGGUUCGGUAAGUCAGAUGUAAAAACUCCAGGCUCAACUUGGAGAGGCCAUCUGAUACUGCCGUGACUAGAGUCCGGUAGAGGAGCACGGAAUUCCUGGUGUAGCGGUGAAAUGCGCAGAUAUCAGGAGGAACACCAGCGGCGAAGGCGGUGCUCUGGGCCGGAACUGACGCUGAGGAGCGAAAGCGUGGGGAGCGAACAGG
RNAcentral lists this ribosomal RNA (254 nucleotides) under uncultured bacterium. Its description in RNAcentral is "partial 16S ribosomal RNA". It matches the Rfam family "Bacterial small subunit ribosomal RNA", at positions 524 to 776 of the family's 1533-position model. The record is from RNAcentral.